RNAcentral lists this ribosomal RNA (526 nucleotides) under uncultured bacterium. RNAcentral's name for it is "bacterial SSU rRNA". It matches the Rfam family "Bacterial small subunit ribosomal RNA", at positions 777 to 1301 of the family's 1533-position model. The record is from RNAcentral.
AAUAGAUACCCGGGUAGUCCACGCCGUAAACGAUGAGUGCUAAGUGUUAGAGGGUUUCCGCCCUUUAGUGCUGCAGCAAACGCAUUAAGCACUCCGCCUGGGGAGUACGGUCGCAAGACUGAAACUCAAAGGAAUUGACGGGGGCCCGCACAAGCGGUGGAGCAUGUGGUUUAAUUCGAAGCAACGCGAAGAACCUUACCAGGUCUUGACAUCCUUAUGCCAUCUCUAGAGAUAGAGCUUUCCCUUCGGGGACAUAAGUGACAGGUGGUGCAUGGUUGUCGUCAGCUCGUGUCGUGAGAUGUUGGGUUAAGUCCCGCAACGAGCGCAACCCUUGAUCUUAGUUGCCAGCAUUCAGUUGGGCACUCUAAGGUGACUGCCGGUGACAAACCGGAGGAAGGUGGGGAUGACGUCAAAUCAUCAUGCCCCUUAUGACCUGGGCUACACACGUGCUACAAUGGAUGGUACAAAGGGCAGCGAAACCGCGAGGUUAAGCCAAUCCCAUAAAACCAUUCUCAGUUCGGAUUGC